AUAGACUACAGUUCAUUCUUUGGCACUGUAUGUGUGCUUGAAUAUUUUAAUCUAACCCUCUCCGCAAUCGUUAACCUUCGCGUAACGUCCUAAGAUUAACCCAAACAAAACAGAAUGUAUGCAACUUUGCCUACGUUUCAUUUAGACCAUGGCAGCUAAAAAAUCGGUUUGAUAUGCUUUUAUAUCCGCCAAGCUAGAUUUGUACAAGUAGCUAUUUGGUAUCACUUGUGGUAUCGCGUGAGUCAUGCAACCUUCACUAGGCGGUCGAAGCUUAAUGUACGUGCCUUUUUAAUCCUGCCGAGAGGCUUCUCACUCACGGGUCCUGUGACAGGCGAGGAUGGGGUGCUGUUGUAAACCCAUCCCCCUCACCCCCACUGACAGCUCAGUGAGAUGAGGGAGCGCAGAGACGUUGGUAUCACUGCGGCGAGCUAAGUGGCAAACCUGGCUAAGGCGGAGAGGCAUUUUACACAAUGCAGGGUACUUUUCGACUUUGCCAGUCAUCCACCGUGCAGCCCAGCGCUUGAACAGUGAACCACCAAGCACACCACGGUUUAGCGCACAGCUAUCGAACAUUCUCCUGUCUAAACUCCUGCCUGUGAGCGCAGGCUUUUAUUCCUGCCGAGCGGAGGGGAUGGGUUAAGCUUGUGCGAACACCAGCGAAAGGUAAACGUGAAAUUGAUUUAGGAAACACAAUUAAUCUUAUCAGGGGUUCCCCUCUCUACCUUUCCUCUCCGGCUCUUUGGAAGAAAAUUUCUUUGAAGGCUGCCGGUGCCUUUUUUCACAGUUUCCUUCAGCAAAAUGGCUUGUUUCAAAAAAAAAAAAAAAAAAAGAUACUACUAUCUGAUUAUUGGAUUUAUUGCUACUUAUUAUGUUUUUGGCAAUAAGACAGUCUGACUCCUUAGCGCUUAAGAGCUGUCUUUUCAAAGGAUCUGACAUGUGUUUAAUAUUAGUGCUUACCUCAGACGGUGGGAUGGGAAGAAUAAACUAAAGCGUUCUGUCGGGAAUGGGGAACGCUGUCGAGCAAGGGGGCACGGAUUGUAGCCACCGUUCAGACAAAGAGCAAUUUUUAAUUUAUUUAUUUUUUCCCUGGCCCCGAGGAACGUUUGGGACUGUUCAGGGACUGUUAUCAAAUGUUUAUCAUCGAAUUUGAUGUGACUGUGCUUUGCCUCCGGCCCCUCCUCUUAUAUCAAUGGAGACUUUUGUGGAAUUCUAAAACUGGAAGCUGAAAAAUCUCUGGAGGUGAUCGACAUUAGUUAUGUGCAGAGAGUUGCGUGUAACAUUUGCAGACUACCUGCUGUUACAUUGUGCUUCAUAGCUUUAAAAUCUUGGUAUAUUGGAUAAAUGGUUUCUCUCAGCAUCUCCUGAAGGCAGUAUUGUUAAGGUGUAUUUUCCUUUUUUAUUUAUUUAUUUAUUUAUUUAUUUAUUUAUUUAUUUAUUUAUUUAUUAUCCACCAGGGGAAUGGGAAAGUGUUGCCAAACUCAUCAAGUGUCUUACUUGGAACUGUUCAUAGCCCUUGCUGGCCUAUUAAGAACAACCUCAAAAAAAAGCUCAAUAUUUUAAUGUACCAGCGUCCAGAUUUAAUUUAUUAUUGCUGAAAAAUGUUUUUUUUUUUUAAAUUUAUUUAUUUAUUUUUUUUAUUGUUUAAAUCUCUCAGAUUAUAUAAGCUAACGUUCACAACACUCAUUUUUGUUUAUUUUUGUUAAUUUGUUUUGCUCGCUCUUGUCUUAAAAAUAGUUACUCUCCCAAUACUAAUGUGAAUAUCAGUGUAAUUACGUUUAUUAAAUGCAACUUUAUUUUUCUGCCCCUAUAAUUAUGACCGCUACCUUUCUCGCUGAAGGGAUGGCUCUCUUGUUUCUGCAAUGAAAGCGCUUUUGGAACGUUCUGUCUUGUGCUAUCAUCUAAUGCACGUGUCUUGGAUCAGGCCUACUUCGUCAUGAAAAUAUAUCAAGUUUAUUAUUUUAUUUUUUAUCGUCAUUUUGAAAAUAUUUACACUCCCAUUGACUUGUUUGCGGAAAAGUGAUCUAUAGCAGUUUUGAAUGAGCUGCAUUCGAUAGGCUUUUUUUCAAAGCAACGUAACUUUGUAGUCAAUUGCACUGUUUGUCAAAGCUUAGGCUACUGACUUUGAUUAACCGUGAGUUUGUAGUUCUUUUCAAAGCCUUUAAAGUAGCAUGCUAUUUACACGUGUAUGCUCAAGGCAGAUAUUCUUGAAACUCAUUUCUUCAUUUCUGCCAGAGAAUUUAAUGUACUUCUUGCUAAAUGUAUUAUAUUUUGUGCAUGUUUGCUCGCCCCCUUUCAAACCAGGCAUAGGAGAACAGUUAUUCGGAAUCUGGAAAGCAAGCUGUUACGGUUCUUGACAUUGUCAGGUGUGUAUGUGUGCGUGUGUGUGACACUUUGCGACACCGUGUGGCGAACUGUGAGCUCGAUGCUCAGACCCACAGUGGCUUGGCGCCCGCUGUCCAUUUCAAAGGCAGAUGAUGCGUUUGCGUGUCUUUCCACUGAUUGUCGUAUGUGCAGGAAAACGCUUGUGUUUUGUUUAAUGGAAGGUGUAGGCUUUUUUUUUUAUUUUUUUUUUACUAAUACGCGUUGCUUAUUUUGGGUGAGAUUAUUUGUCUACUCCAUGUUCAAUUUACUGACCAUCUCCUUCCCUUCUGUCGUGCUACUUAAGGUGAAAUGAAAUGUAAGUAGCUCAAAGGAAACCUGUACUACCUACAAAAUAUAUUUUCAUCGCUUUAUUUCAUGACAUUGUGAAGCAGUAUAUAGUAAAUUUGAUUCGUACUCAGAAUCAUAAUGAUGUUAGAGAAGCACAACGUUUCAUUGCAUUAUAUUUUAGUUUGUUUUUAUUUCAAAAUAUUUUGAUGUAAAUUGUUCUGCAACUUAUCGCCGCGUUACGUUGUUUCCGGCCUGUGAGUAAUGAAAAUAUAUUAAUUGCAAUUUGUAUGAUUACAAUUUGAACUUUUAAAAAUGGAUUGUAUUGCCGAA
Molecule: long non-coding RNA, 2979 nt
Organism: Anguilla anguilla (European eel)
Lineage: Eukaryota; Metazoa; Chordata; Actinopteri; Anguilliformes; Anguillidae
Exons: 3
Source: RefSeq, a predicted model, not a curated record